Molecule: ribosomal RNA, 1372 nt
Filed under: uncultured bacterium
Lineage: Bacteria
Description: bacterial SSU rRNA
Rfam family: Bacterial small subunit ribosomal RNA
Source: RNAcentral
GAUGAACGCUGGCGGCGUGCCUAAUACAUGCAAGUCGAGCGAACGGACGAGAAGCUUGCUUCUCUGAUGUUAGCGGCGGACGGGUGAGUAACACGUGGAUAACCUACCUAUAAGACUGGGAUAACUUCGGGAAACCGGAGCUAAUACCGGAUAAUAUUUUGAACCGCAUGGUUCAAAAGUGAAAGACGGUCUUGCUGUCACUUAUAGAUGGAUCCGCGCUGCAUUAGCUAGUUGGUAAGGUAACGGCUUACCAAGGCAACGAUGCAUAGCCGACCUGAGAGGGUGAUCGGCCACACUGGAACUGAGACACGGUCCAGACUCCUACGGGAGGCAGCAGUAGGGAAUCUUCCGCAAUGGGCGAAAGCCUGACGGAGCAACGCCGCGUGAGUGAUGAAGGUCUUCGGAUCGUAAAACUCUGUUAUUAGGGAAGAACAUAUGUGUAAGUAACUGUGCACAUCUUGACGGUACCUAAUCAGAAAGCCACGGCUAACUACGUGCCAGCAGCCGCGGUAAUACGUAGGUGGCAAGCGUUAUCCGGAAUUAUUGGGCGUAAAGCGCGCGUAGGCGGUUUUUUAAGUCUGAUGUGAAAGCCCACGGCUCAACCGUGGAGGGUCAUUGGAAACUGGAAAACUUGAGUGCAGAAGAGGAAAGUGGAAUUCCAUGUGUAGCGGUGAAAUGCGCAGAGAUAUGGAGGAACACCAGUGGCGAAGGCGACUUUCUGGUCUGUAACUGACGCUGAUGUGCGAAAGCGUGGGGAUCAAACAGGAUUAGAUACCCUGGUAGUCCACGCCGUAAACGAUGAGUGCUAAGUGUUAGGGGGUUUCCGCCCCUUAGUGCCGCAGCUAACGCAUUAAGCACUCCGCCUGGGGAGUACGACCGCAAGGUUGAAACUCAAAGGAAUUGACGGGGACCCGCACAAGCGGUGGAGCAUGUGGUUUAAUUCGAAGCAACGCGAAGAACCUUACCAAAUCUUGACAUCCUUUGACAACUCUAGAGAUAGAGCCUUCCCCUUCGGGGGACAAAGUGACAGGUGGUGCAUGGUUGUCGUCAGCUCGUGUCGUGAGAUGUUGGGUUAAGUCCCGCAACGAGCGCAACCCUUAAGCUUAGUUGCCAUCAUUAAGUUGGGCACUCUAAGUUGACUGCCGGUGACAAACCGGAGGAAGGUGGGGAUGACGUCAAAUCAUCAUGCCCCUUAUGAUUUGGGCUACACACGUGCUACAAUGGACAAUACAAAGGGCAGCGAAACCGCGAGGUCAAGCAAAUCCCAUAAAGUUGUUCUCAGUUCGGAUUGUAGUCUGCAACUCGACUACAUGAAGUUGGAAUCGCUAGUAAUCGUAGAUCAGCAUGCUACGGUGAAUACGUUCCCGGGUCU